This 69-nucleotide transfer RNA is filed under the name Candidatus Roizmanbacteria bacterium CG22_combo_CG10-13_8_21_14_all_38_20. RNAcentral's name for it is "tRNA-Glu". It matches the Rfam family "tRNA". Rfam says of the family: Transfer RNA (tRNA) molecules are approximately 80 nucleotides in length. Their secondary structure includes four short double-helical elements and three loops (D, anti-codon, and T loops). Further hydrogen bonds mediate the characteristic L-shaped molecular structure. tRNAs have two regions of fundamental functional importance: the anti-codon, which is responsible for specific mRNA codon recognition, and the 3' end, to which the tRNAs corresponding amino acid is attached (by aminoacyl-tRNA synthetases). tRNAs cope with the degeneracy of the genetic code in two manners: having more than one tRNA (with a specific anti-codon) for a particular amino acid; and 'wobble' base-pairing, i.e. permitting non-standard base-pairing at the 3rd anti-codon position. Lineage: Bacteria; Candidatus Roizmaniibacteriota. The record is from RNAcentral.
UGCCAUCGUCUAGUGGCCUAGGACGCCGCCUUCUCAAGGCGGAGACCGCGGGUUCAAAUCCCGCUGGCA